UACGGAGGGUGCUAGCGUUGUUCGGAAUCACUGGGCGUAAAGGGCGCGUAGGCGGCGCCGCAAGUCGGCGGUGAAAGCUCGGCGCCUAACCCCAGAGGUGCCGCCGAGACUGGGGGGCUGGAGGCCGGAAGAGGAGGGUGGAAUACCCAGUGUAGAGGUGAAAUUCGUAGAUAUCGGGUGGAACACCGGUGGCGAAAGCGGCUCGCUGGGUCGGUCCUGACGCUGAGGCGCGAGAGCGUGGGGAGCAAACAGG
Molecule: ribosomal RNA, 253 nt
Filed under: uncultured bacterium
Lineage: Bacteria
Description: partial 16S ribosomal RNA
Rfam family: Bacterial small subunit ribosomal RNA
Source: RNAcentral